AACGAACGCUGGCGGCAUGCCUAACACAUGCAAGUCGAACGAGACCUUCGGGUCUAGUGGCGCACGGGUGCGUAACGCGUGGGAACCUGCCCUUAGGUUCGGAAUAACUCCCCGAAAGGGGUGCUAAUACCGGAUAAUGUCUUCGGACCAAAGAUUUAUCGCCUUUGGAUGGGCCCGCGUUGGAUUAGCUAGUUGGUAGGGUGAAAGCCUACCAAGGCGACGAUCCAUAGCUGGUCUGAGAGGAUGAUCAGCCACACUGGGACUGAGACACGGCACAGACUCCUACGGGAGGAAGCAGUGGGGAAUAUUGGACAAUGGGCGAAAGACUGAUCAAGCAAUGCCGCGUGAGGGAUGAAGGCCUUAGGGUUGUAAAGCUCUUUUAGCCGGGAUGAUAAUGACAGUACCGGGAGAAUAAGCUCCGGCUAACUCCGUG
RNAcentral lists this ribosomal RNA (433 nucleotides) under uncultured bacterium. Its description in RNAcentral is "partial 16S ribosomal RNA". It matches the Rfam family "Bacterial small subunit ribosomal RNA", at positions 29 to 507 of the family's 1533-position model. The record is from RNAcentral.